UGUCGGAAUUAUUGGGCGUAAGAGCUCGUAGGCGGCUUGUCGCGUCUGCUGUGAAAACCAGAGGCUCAACCUCUGGCCUGCAGUGGGUACGGGCAAGCUAGAGUGCGGUAGGGGAGAUUGGAAUUCCUGGUGUAGCGGUGGAAUGCGCAGAUAUCAGGAGGAACACCGAUGGCGAAGGCAGAUCUCUGGGCCGUAACUGACGCUGAGGAGCGAAAGCAUGGGGAGCGAACAGGAUUAGAUACCCUGGUAGUCCAUGCCGUAAACGUUGGGAACUAGAUGUAGGGCCUGUUCCACGGGUUCUGUGUCGUAGCUAACGCAUUAAGUUCCCCGCCUGGGGAGUACGGCCGCAAGGCUAAAACUCAAAGGAAUUGACGGGGGCCCGCACAAGCGGCGGAGCAUGCGGAUUAAUUCGAUGCAACGCGAAGAACCUUACCAAGGCUUGACAUAUACGAGAACACUGUAGAGAUACAGGACUCUUUGGACACUCGUAAACAGGUGGUGCAUGGUUGUCGUCAGCUCGUGUCGUGAGAUGUUCGGUUAAGUCCGGCAACGAGCGCAACCCUCGUCCUAUGUUGCCAGCACGUGAUGGUGGGAACUCAUGGGAUACUGCCGUGGUCAACACGGAGGAAGGUGGGGAUGACGUCAAAUCAUCAUGCCCCUUAUGUCUUGGGCUUCACGCAUGCUACAAUGGCCGAUACAAAGGGUUGCGAUACCGUGAGGUGGAGCGAAUCCCAAAAAGUCGGUCUCAGUUCGGAUUGGGGUCUGCAACUCGACCCCAUGAAGUCGGAGUCGCUAGUAAUCGCAGAUCAGCAACGCUGCGGUGAAUACGUUCCCGGGCCUUGUACACACCGCCCGUCAAGUCAUGAAAGUCGGUAACACCCGAAGCCGGUGGCCUA
RNAcentral lists this ribosomal RNA (896 nucleotides) under Microbacterium sp. PVC7. Its description in RNAcentral is "bacterial SSU rRNA". It matches the Rfam family "Bacterial small subunit ribosomal RNA", at positions 543 to 1437 of the family's 1533-position model. Lineage: Bacteria; Bacillati; Actinomycetota; Actinomycetes; Micrococcales; Microbacteriaceae. The record is from RNAcentral.